RNAcentral lists this ribosomal RNA (253 nucleotides) under uncultured bacterium. Its description in RNAcentral is "partial 16S ribosomal RNA". It matches the Rfam family "Bacterial small subunit ribosomal RNA", at positions 524 to 776 of the family's 1533-position model. The record is from RNAcentral.
GACGUAGGGGGCUAGCGUUGUCCGGAAUCAUUGGGCGUAAAGCGCGUGUAGGCGGCCCGGUAAGUCCGCUGUGAAAGUCGGGGGCUCAACCCUCGGAUGCCGGUGGAUACUGUCGGGCUCGAGUACGGAAGAGGCGAGUGGAAUUCCUGGUGUAGCGGUGAAAUGCGCAGAUAUCAGGAGGAACACCAAUUGCGAAGGCAGCUCGCUGGGACGUUACUGACGCUGAGACGCGAAAGCGUGGGGAGCAAACAGG